GAUGAACGCUGGCGGCGUGCCUAAUACAUGCAAGUCGAACGCUGAAGGAGGAGCUUGCUCUUCUGGAUGAGUUGCGAACGGGUGAGUAACGCGUAGGUAACCUGCCUGGUAGCGGGGGAUAACUAUUGGAAACGAUAGCUAAUACCGCAUGACAACAGUUAUUGCAUGAUAACUGUUUAAAAGGGGCAACUGCUCCACUACCAGAUGGACCUGCGUUGUAUUAGCUAGUUGGUGAGGUAACGGCUCACCAAGGCGACGAUACAUAGCCGACCUGAGAGGGUGAGCGGCCACACUGGGACGGAGACACGGCCCAGACUCCUACGGGAGGCAGCAGUAGGGAAUCUUCGGCAAUGGACGGAAGUCUGACCGAGCAACGCCGCGUGAGGGAAGAAGGGUGUCGGGUCGUAAAGCUCGGUUGUAAGAGAAGAACGAGUGUGAGAGUGGAAAGUUCACACUGUGACGGUAUCUUACCAGAAAGGGACGGCUAACUACGUG
RNAcentral lists this ribosomal RNA (495 nucleotides) under uncultured bacterium. RNAcentral's name for it is "partial 16S ribosomal RNA". It matches the Rfam family "Bacterial small subunit ribosomal RNA", at positions 28 to 507 of the family's 1533-position model. The record is from RNAcentral.